This 216-nucleotide long non-coding RNA is filed under the name Prunus dulcis (almond). RNAcentral describes it as "sRNA ncRNA". The record is from RNAcentral. Lineage: Eukaryota; Viridiplantae; Streptophyta; Magnoliopsida; Rosales; Rosaceae.
AGCAUCCGCUAAGAAGGCUUUCAUGACUUCCAGCUCCCGCUUAAUCUCAUCAACUUGAUCACCAACACCCGCUAUGGAGGCUGCUUCACUCUCGAGAAUUGCUACAAAUUUGCCAAUGAAGAUGUCUGCUGAAACUAACGCCAUAAUGGCCUUAUUUUGGUAUGUGCUAGCUUAAUCAAAACAACACAUCUAGAAUUGAUUCUGGGGAGCAAUCAA